UCAAGCGACUAAGUGUAUGUGGUGGAUGCCUUGGCGAUCACAGGCGAUGAAGGACGUGAAAGCCUGCGAAAAGCUGUGGGGAGCUGGCAAAUAAGCUUUGAUCCACAGAUCUCCGAAUGAGGGAACUCACUUGGCUUCUGCCAAGUAUCCAUGUCUGAAUACAUAGGGCAUGGAGGCGAACGCGGUGAACUGAAACAUCUAAGUAACCGCAGGAAAAGAAAUCAACCGAGAUUCCGAAAGUAGCGGCGAGCGAAAUCGGACGAGCCUAGUGCUUGAUAAUGCUGCCGACAGCAGAACGGUCUGGAAAGUCCGGCUACAGAGGGUGAUAGCCCCGUAUGCGAAGUCCGCGGCAUGGUACUAAGAGCACGAUAAGUAGGGCGGGACACGUGACAUCCUGUCUGAAGAUGGGGGGACCAUCCUCCAAGGCUAAAUACUCGUGAUCGACCGAUAGUGAACCAGUACUGUGAAGGAAAGGCGAAAAGAACCCCGGGAGGGGAGUGAAAUAGAUCCUGAAACCGCAUACAUACAAACAGUAGGAGCCUCUUUAAGGGGUGACUGCGUACCUUUUGCAUAAUGGGUCAGCGACUUACGUUCAAUGGCGAGCUUAACCGUAUAGGGGAGGCGCAGCGAAAGCGAGUUCGAACAGAGCGAUUUCAGUCGUUGGGCGUAGACCCGAAACCAGAUGAUCUAUCCAUGGUCAGGUUGAAGGUGUGGUAACACACACUGGAGGACCGAACCGACUAGUGUUGCAAAAUUAGCGGAUGAACUGUGGAUAGGGGUGAAAGGCUAAACAAAUCUGGAGAUAGCUGGUUCUCCCCGAAAACUAUUGAGGUAGUGCCUCGUGUAUGGCUCCAGGGGGUAGAGCACUGUUAUGGCUAGGGGGACAUGGCGUCUUACCAAACCAUGGCAAACUCCGAAUACUUGGAAGUCGAAGCACGGGAGACAGAGCACCGGGUGCUAACGUCCGGACUCAAAAGGGAAACAACCCAGACCGCCGGCUAAGGUCCCUAAUAUGAACUGAGUGGAAAACGAAGUGGGAAGGCUAAGACAGUCAGGAAGUUGGCUUAGAAGCAGCCAUCCUUCAAAGAAAGCGUAAUAGCUCACUGAUCGAGUCUUCCUGCGCGGAAGAUGUAACGGGGCUAAGUUCAUAACCGAAGCCGCGGAUUCACACGCAAGUGUGAGUGGUAGGGGAGCGUUCUGUAAGCCUGCGAAGGUGACUCGCAAGGGUUGCUGGAGGUAUCAGAAGUGCGAAUGCUGACAUGAGUAACGUUAAAGCGGGUGAAAAGCCCGCUCGCCGUAAGCCCAAGGUUUCCUGCUCUACGUUCAUCGGAGCAGGGUGAGUCGGCCCCUAAGGCGAGGCUGAGAAGCGUAGCUGAUGGGAACAAGGUUAAUAUUCCUUGACCGCCGUCGAGUGCGAAGGGGGGACGGAGUGUUGAAGAUCAUCCGGGUGUUGGAUGUCCCGGUUUCCGCGCGUAGGAGGUCUGCAGGCAAAUCCGCAGACGAAUCUCCGAGGCAAAGGAUCGAGUCCCAUUGGGGACGAAGUGAUUGGAUGGACUUCCAGGAAAAGCCUCUAAGCUCCAGCUCAACGGGACCGUACCGCAAACCGACACUGGUGGGCGAGCUGAAUAUGCUCAGGCGCUUGAGAGAACUCAGGAGAAGGAACUCGGCAAAUUGACCCCGUAACUUCGGGAUAAGGUGUGCCUUGGUAGCGUGGAGGGAGAAACACCCCGAGCGUGAAGAGGUCUCAGAGAAUCGGUGGCUGCGACUGUUUACUAAAAACACAGCACUCUGCAAAGACGAAAGUCGACGUAUAGGGUGUGAUGCCUGCCCGGUGCUGGAAGAUUAAUUGAUGGGGUGCAAGCUCCUGAUCGAAGUCCCAGUAAACGGCGGCCGUAACUAUAACGGUCCUAAGGUAGCGAAAUUCCUUGUC
This 1930-nucleotide ribosomal RNA is filed under the name human gut metagenome. Its description in RNAcentral is "bacterial LSU rRNA". It matches the Rfam family "Bacterial large subunit ribosomal RNA", at positions 3 to 1973 of the family's 2925-position model. The record is from RNAcentral.